GCCGACCCCCUCUCUCUCCCAAACCCUCUUGUUAUUUCAAGUUGAAUUUGAAGAAAAUUGGUGUGAAUUGGAGCUAAUUUUUGGAGCUUGAUUGUGGGGAUUAUUCUUGCUUAGUCUUGAGGAAAGGGUAAGGCAUUAGCUGAUCAGCCAUGAGUUUCAGGAGCAGGGCGAAGAAUGUACAUGUUCAUGCCACUUCAGACCAAGCGGGUUAUGGGUCUAACAAUGUUGACUUUUGUAUUCUGUUUUGCCGCUUAGGUCGGCUAGUAAGAAAGAACUUGUAAUAAGUUUGUAAAUAUUUUUGGGAUCCCAACUAUUUUGAAAAGUUUAAAUAUAUUACAAGUUUAUUUUCAGUCUGUUUAAUAUAAAAGUUUAAAUUCUACGCUAUUUUAAUUAGUAAUCCCGAUUAGGGUAUUAGGGUUUCAUAAGCAUUAUGGGUAGCGUGCCUAAUUAUUUAGGGCGUUACAGUGAAUCUGCUACAUGGGUGUAAAUUUGUACUAGGAUUGUGCGAGGAAAAUGACAAGUAAUGUUUUGUGAGAGGAAUAUGACAAACAAUGUUGUUUGUGUAAUAAGCAAUAUUGGUUGGCUGGGGAGGAAAUGUAAGAAUGCUCUUUUUUAGAACUGAUGUACAACAUUUGAAACAAUCUACAUAUUAAUUUGUAAUUUUGUAUAUCAUGAAGUUUUACUA
This is a long non-coding RNA of Cannabis sativa, 685 nucleotides long. RefSeq lists it as uncharacterized. NCBI's taxonomy places the organism in Eukaryota, Viridiplantae, Streptophyta, Magnoliopsida, Rosales, Cannabaceae. The record is from RefSeq and is a predicted model, not a curated record. The transcript has 2 exons.